Non-coding RNA from Alligator mississippiensis (American alligator), 907 nucleotides. NCBI's taxonomy places the organism in Eukaryota, Metazoa, Chordata, Crocodylia, Alligatoridae. The record is from the annotation of a RefSeq genome assembly.
CUCAGAAGGUGAGCUGGCCUGGAUUUGCGCCAUGGCCUGGGCCCUGUUCCUCGCAUUGCUCACAGGCUACGUGGGUUCCAGUUCCCAGCAGCUGCAGCCCCUGAAGCCAUCAGAGCAGGUGUCUCCCGGAGGGACUGUGACCAUCGCGUGCAGCCUGAGCAGUGGAGCAGUUGGUGAUGGCAACUACCCACAGUGGGUGCAACAGAAACCGGGCCAUGUUCCUCGGCUGCUGAUGUACAGCACCAGUACCCGGCCCUCUGAUGUGCCAGCGCGCUUCUCUGGGUCCCGAUCAGGGAACGCCAUGUCCUUGACCAUCACUGGGGCCCAGCCCGAGGAUGACGCUGAUUAUUACUGUUCAGUAUGGACUGGGAGUGCUUGCACAGUGAUACGGUCUUAUGGGGAAGUGCAACAAAAACUCUCUCUGCUCUGACUCCUCCGAACAAGAUCUGAAGCUUGAAAUGCAGCUGCUGUUAUGUGCUGCCCUAGAGUCCCUGCUCUGGGCACAUAGAGCUGGGGGACUCUGUUCCUCUUUUUCCCCUGCACCAGUUUUCACAGACUGCCAUGUGCCUAGUACCUCCAGCCGCCAUCCCACCGUCUACAGAAAGACAGAACCAGUAACUUCCAUGUUUUCCCUCCAGGCCAACAGCCCUCUCCAAACAUGACUAGGAACAAGCACGUCUUCUAGGCUUUGUAGCAUCCUUGGGCGUUGAUUCCCAUCAGAGAAGGGGCAUGUGGACUAUUGGCAGGGACCAGGACUCCCUCUUGGACAAUGGAGAUAGGAUGAGACCACUCCCCAGUGGAGAGCACGUUUCUGUUUAGUGUCUCCUCUCUUAGACUAUCAGACCUUUGGGGACAGUGUCUGUGUCCUGCGUCCUUCUAGUGCUGAUCAUAUGAAGGUUGUGUAAUG